This 721-nucleotide ribosomal RNA is filed under the name uncultured bacterium. RNAcentral's name for it is "bacterial SSU rRNA". It matches the Rfam family "Bacterial small subunit ribosomal RNA", at positions 116 to 834 of the family's 1533-position model. The record is from RNAcentral.
CGUAGGAAUCUAUCCUGGAGCGGGGGACAACUCGGGGAAACUCGGGCUAAUACCGCAUACCUAGUUUACUAGAAAGAGGGCCUCUUCUUGAAAGCUCUCACUUCAGGGUGAGCCUGCGUCAGAUUAGCUUGUUGGUGGGGUAAAGGCCUACCAAGGCGACGAUCUGUAGCUGUUCUGAGAGGAAGAUCAGCCACACUGGGACUGAGACACGGCCCAGACUCCUACGGGAGGCAGCAGUGGGGAAUAUUGGACAAUGGGGGAAACCCUGAUCCGGCAAUGCCGCGUGUGUGAAGAAGGCCUGAGGGUUGUAAAGCACUUUCAGUAGGGAGGAAAAGUUAUUGGUUAAUAACCAAUAACCCUGACGUUACCUACAGAAGAAGCACCGGCUAACUCUGUGCCAGCAGCCGCGGUAAUACAGAGGGUGCAAGCGUUAAUCGGAAUUACUGGGCGUAAAGGGCGUGUAGGUGGUUAUUUAAGUUAGAUGUGAAAGCCCCGGGCUCAACCUGGGACCUGCAUCUAAAACUGAAUGGCUAGAGUACAGUAGAGGGAAGUGGAAUUUCUAGUGUAGCGGUGAAAUGCGUAGAUAUUAGAAAGAACACCAGUGGCGAAGGGGCUUCCUGGACUGAUACUGACACUGAGGCGCGAAAGUGGGUAGCGAACAGGAUUAAAUACCCUGGUAGUCCACGCCGUAAACGAUGAGAACUAGCUGUUGGGUGGUUGA